ACGCGAAGAACCUUACCNCAGGCUUGACAUGCAGAAGACAGCGCUAGAGAUAGCGUCUUCCUUAGGGACUUCUGCACAGGUGCUGCAUGGCUGUCGUCAGCUCGUGCCGUGAGGUGUUGGGUUAAGUCCCGCAACGAGCGCAACCCUUAUCAUUAGUUGCCAACAGGUGAAGCUGGGAACUCUAAUGAGACUGCCUGGGUUAACCAGGAGGAAGGUGAGGAUGACGUCAAGUCCGCAUGGCCCUUAUGUCUGGGGCUACACACGUGCUACAAUGGUCGGUACAGAAGGCAGCGAAACCGCGAGGCGAAGCAAAUCCCCCAAAACCGAUCCCAGUUCAGAUUGUAGUCUGCAACUCGACUACAUGAAGAUGGAAUUGCUAGUAAUGGCGUGUCAGCAACAACGCCGUGAGUACGUUCCCGGGUCUUGUACACACCG
This 435-nucleotide ribosomal RNA is filed under the name uncultured bacterium. RNAcentral describes it as "bacterial SSU rRNA". It matches the Rfam family "Bacterial small subunit ribosomal RNA", at positions 959 to 1392 of the family's 1533-position model. The record is from RNAcentral.